Molecule: ribosomal RNA, 490 nt
Filed under: uncultured bacterium
Lineage: Bacteria
Description: partial 16S ribosomal RNA
Rfam family: Bacterial small subunit ribosomal RNA
Source: RNAcentral
AUUGAACGCUGGCGGCAGGCCUAACACAUGCAAGUCGAACGGUAACAGGAAGAAGCUUGCUUCUUUGCUGACGAGUGGCGGGCGGGUGAGUAAUGUCUGGGAAACUGCCUGAUGGAGGGGGAUAACUACUGGAAACGGUAGCUAAUACCGCAUAACGUCGCAAGACCAAAGAGGGGGACCUUCGGGCCUCUUGCCAUCGGAUGUGCCCAGAUGGGAUUAGCUAGUAGGUGGGGUAACGGCUCACCUAGGCGACGAUCCCUAGCUGGUCUGAGAGGAUGACCAGCCACACUGGAACUGAGACACGGUCCAGACUCCUACGGGAGGCAGCAGUGGGGAAUAUUGCACAAUGGGCGAAAGCCUGAUGCAGCCAUGCCGCGUGUGUGAAGAAGGCCUUCGGGUUGUAAAGUACUUUCAGCGGGGAGGAAGGGAGUAAAGUUAAUACCUUGGCUCAUUGACGUUACCCGCAGAAGAAGCACCGGCUAACUCCGUG